Molecule: ribosomal RNA, 252 nt
Filed under: uncultured bacterium
Lineage: Bacteria
Description: partial 16S ribosomal RNA
Rfam family: Bacterial small subunit ribosomal RNA
Source: RNAcentral
UACGGAGGAUGCGAGCGUUAUCCGGAUUUAUUGGGUUUAAAGGGUGCGUAGGCGGAUCGUUAAGUCAGUGGUCAAAUUGAGGGGCUCAACCCCUUCCCGCCAUUGAAACUGGCGUGCUCGAGUUGGAGAGAAGUAUGCGGAAUUCGUGGUGUAGCGGUGAAAUGCAUAGAUAUCACGAAGAACCCCGAUUGCGAAGGCAGCAUACCGGCUCCACACUGACGCUGAGGCACGAAAGCGUGGGUAUCGAACAGG